UCCCAGGUAGCUCAAAUGGUAAAGUAUCUGCCUACAAUGUGGGAGACCUGGGUUCAAUCCCUGGAUUGGGAA
Molecule: transfer RNA, 72 nt
Filed under: Ovis aries (sheep)
Lineage: Eukaryota; Metazoa; Chordata; Mammalia; Artiodactyla; Bovidae
Rfam family: tRNA
About the family: Transfer RNA (tRNA) molecules are approximately 80 nucleotides in length. Their secondary structure includes four short double-helical elements and three loops (D, anti-codon, and T loops).
Source: Rfam by way of RNAcentral